AAGGUAUUCUAAACAUGGAAUUUCUCUAGCUUGAGUGUGAGAGAUAUGCUUGGUUAGGUUUUCUUGUCUCUCUUUGCUAGCUCUCCUAGGGAAUUGUUGAUGAUAUUCAUUUUUCCUAAGACUUUCUUCCCCAAGAUAAUCAUGAUGUUUAGAGCUAGAUGCAUGAGAAUGUAAUUUUUUUGAAAAUUGAGACUUCUCAUUCUUUGCUUUAGUCAAUUCAUUAGUUUUGAUCUCAUUCUCCAAUUGUUUAGAUGAAAUUGAUUGAAUAUCCUUAGUAAGUUGUUUCAAAAUAGAUUUCAAGGAUUUCACCUCACUUUUAAGAGAUUUAGAGGAGUGAGAAGACAUGACUAAAACUUUGUGUGUAGAAGUAUUUUACCUUGAGAAAAAUUUAGGGAAGUCAAAGAAGGUAGUCUUCCAGGUAAGGGAGGUGAGUCACAAAGGACUACUUAAGUACCAAGCCUUUGCCUUAGCCAAAAACUAUCCCUCAAUGUCUUCACACAAAACUUCCUCUUAGUAAACUACUUAGAACACAAUUAAGUUGAGAAAUCAAAACUUUUUUUUUUUCAAUGCAAGAAAACAAAUGUAUGCUAACUAAUCAACAAACCUAGACGGUUUGACACAAACUUAACAAAAU
This 634-nucleotide long non-coding RNA is filed under the name Phaseolus vulgaris (common bean). RNAcentral describes it as "long non-coding RNA (PVUL_LNC000789)". The record is from RNAcentral. Lineage: Eukaryota; Viridiplantae; Streptophyta; Magnoliopsida; Fabales; Fabaceae.